AUUCAACAUCUUCCUAAGGUAGGAGAUUGAGAUCGAAAGGCAAGGGUCUGCGGAAGGAGGAAGAGGCAAUAUCACCGUCGUCAAUAACCAAUGAAGACGAGUCACAAUCACUGUGGCAGUCGUCAAGGAGAACAGGUGGUGAGGGAGGGUGCCGGCGGUGGUGGUGCGACCUUACAA
Telopea speciosissima is the source of this 177-nucleotide long non-coding RNA. RefSeq lists it as uncharacterized. Lineage: Eukaryota; Viridiplantae; Streptophyta; Magnoliopsida; Proteales; Proteaceae. The transcript has 3 exons. The record is from RefSeq and is a predicted model, not a curated record.